CCAAGGCUUGACAUAUAGAGGAAAAGUGCAGAAAUGCACUCCCCGCAAGGUCUCUAUACAGGUGGUGCAUGGUUGUCGUCAGCUCGUGUCGUGAGAUGUUGGGUUAAGUCCCGCAACGAGCGCAACCCUUGUCCUAUGUUGCCAGCACGUUAAGGUGGGAACUCAUGGGAUACUGCCGGGGUCAACUCGGAGGAAGGUGGGGAUGACGUCAAAUCAUCAUGCCCCUUAUGUCUUGGGCUUCACGCAUGCUACAAUGGCCGGUACAGAGGGCAGCAAUACCGCAAGGUGGAGCGAAUCCCAAAAAGCCGGUCUCAGUUCGGAUUGAGGUCUGCAACUCGACCUCAUGAAGUUGGAGUCGCUAGUAAUCGUGGAUCAGCAACGCCACGGUGAAUACGUUCCCGGGUCUUGUACACACGCAAUC
This 421-nucleotide ribosomal RNA is filed under the name uncultured bacterium. RNAcentral describes it as "bacterial SSU rRNA". It matches the Rfam family "Bacterial small subunit ribosomal RNA", at positions 974 to 1387 of the family's 1533-position model. The record is from RNAcentral.